UACAGAGGGUGCAAGCGUUAUUCGGAAUUAUUGGGCGUAAAGCGCACGUAGGUGGUUUAGUAAGUCUGAUGUGAAAGCCCCGGACUCAAUUCGGGAAGUGCAUUGGAUACUGCUAGACUGGAGUAUGGGAGAGGAGAGUGGAAUUCCAGGUGUAGAGGUGAAAUUCGUAGAUAUCUGGAGGAACAACAGAGGCGAAGGCGGCUCUCUGGACCAUUACUGACACUGAGGUGCGAAAGCGUGGGGAGCAAACAGG
Molecule: ribosomal RNA, 253 nt
Filed under: uncultured bacterium
Lineage: Bacteria
Description: partial 16S ribosomal RNA
Rfam family: Bacterial small subunit ribosomal RNA
Source: RNAcentral